UACGUAGGUGGCAAGCGUUGUCCGGAUUUACUGGGCGUAAAGAGCGCGCAGGCGGUCGUUCAAGUCGCGUGUGAAAGCCCCCGGCUCAACUGGGGAGGGUCACGCGAUACUGAUCGACUCGAAGGCAGGAGAGGGAAGUGGAAUUCCCGGUGUAGUGGUGAAAUGCGUAGAUAUCGGGAGGAACACCAGUGGCGAAGGCGACUACCUGGCCUGUUCUUGACGCUGAGGCGCGAAAGCUAGGGGAGCAAACAGG
Molecule: ribosomal RNA, 253 nt
Filed under: uncultured bacterium
Lineage: Bacteria
Description: partial 16S ribosomal RNA
Rfam family: Bacterial small subunit ribosomal RNA
Source: RNAcentral